AAUGAACGUUGGCGGCGUGGAUUAGGCAUGCAAGUCGUGCGGCAGCAAGUUCUUCGGAAUGUUGGCGAGCGGCGAAAGGGAGAGUAACAGGUAGAUAUGUGCCCUUGGGACCAGGAUAGCGUCGGGAAACUGGCGGUAAUACUGGAUAACAUCUCCGGAUCAAAUGGUGUGAUUCCGCCCAAGGAUCGGUCUGCUUCCUAUUAGCUUGUUGGCGGGGUAAUGGCCCACCAAGGCUAAGAUGGGUACCGGGUGUGAGAGCAUGACCCGGCUCACUGGGACUGAGACACUGCCCAGACACCUACGGGUGGCUGCAGUCGAGAAUCUUCGGCAAUGGACGCAAGUCUGACCGAGCGACGCCGCGUGCGGGAUGAAGGCCCUCGGGUUGUAAACCGCUGUCAGUUGGGAGGAAAUGUUAUGGGGUUCUCCCUGUAAUUUGACCGAUCUUCAGAGGAAGGACGGGCUAAGUUCGUGCCAGCAGCCGCCGUAACAC
This 490-nucleotide ribosomal RNA is filed under the name uncultured bacterium. RNAcentral's name for it is "bacterial SSU rRNA". It matches the Rfam family "Bacterial small subunit ribosomal RNA", at positions 29 to 526 of the family's 1533-position model. The record is from RNAcentral.